This is a long non-coding RNA of Eriocheir sinensis (Chinese mitten crab), 652 nucleotides long. RefSeq lists it as uncharacterized. The record is from RefSeq and is a predicted model, not a curated record. The transcript has 4 exons. Lineage: Eukaryota; Metazoa; Arthropoda; Malacostraca; Decapoda; Varunidae.
GCGCCCGGCCUGGAUGUUAGUGCUGAGUGUUGCCUCCCAGAUAGUGAAGUCGCAAUCACCUAAGAUGGAAGCCUUGGGUCUGCCUGGGUCCCUGCUGCCGCUGUGGUCACUCUCCCCGCCCCUGCCCGUGCUGCAGCCCUCAGCCCCGACCUCACCCUCAUGAACUGCUCUGACGUGAAGGAUCACUUGGUCAACAUGCUGCUGAAUAGUGGAAAGUGUGACGGUGGUGGCGGACAAGAUCGCUGGCCCUUUCCACCUUGGCCAUCCACCUCUACCACGAGUUGGCCCACCAAACACUCCACACCAAGGUUAACAAGGCCAUCAAUGUGCUCCAGGCAUACCUCAAGAGCCCAUCCAGCGCUGGGCCCGGCCACUGCAAGCCUUGUUGGGUCAAUGUGGGAAAUCAGCCAAGGUGGAGUUUGAGUCGGUCGGCCUCAACCAUGAGGGUGCGCAUGGAGUCAUUGUCAUGUUCCGUUGAUAACCUCCUAAUUGAUUCAUGUUGGUUGAUGUUUCACUCUGAUAUUGCAGUAAAUAUUUAGUUGUAUCAUUGUGCAUCAUCUGGAUAACCCCAAAGUGUUCCUAAGGUAUAAUGAUUGAAUGUUUUGACAAGAAUAUGAACAUUCACUCUUAGUUAGUAAGAAACUGUGUAUGU